This 72-nucleotide transfer RNA is filed under the name Bos taurus (domestic cattle). It matches the Rfam family "tRNA". From Rfam's summary of the family: Transfer RNA (tRNA) molecules are approximately 80 nucleotides in length. Their secondary structure includes four short double-helical elements and three loops (D, anti-codon, and T loops). RNAcentral also lists the same sequence under 4 other names. Lineage: Eukaryota; Metazoa; Chordata; Mammalia; Artiodactyla; Bovidae. The record is from Rfam by way of RNAcentral.
UCCCUGAUGGCUCAGUGGUAAAGAAUCAGCCUAUCAGUGCAGGAGACACAGGUUCAAUCCCUGAUCUGGGAA